UGGACAUCUAAUUAGUCAUUUCUGGUGCGGAAUCAUAAAAUACAUGUUCAGAAAGAACCAUAGACCUCUAUAGCCCAACACAUUCCAGCCAGCGUGCAGAAUUUUAAACCUCUUCACUCCAAAUAAUGUGUACACAAGGAUCGCACACGUUUAUUACUAUAUUAAUAACUUGCAAAUAAAAUUAAUUUAUUUAAUAUUUUGGUCUGUAACAACAAUAACCCGUAGGUCAUCU
Pelobates cultripes (western spadefoot toad) is the source of this 232-nucleotide non-coding RNA. Lineage: Eukaryota; Metazoa; Chordata; Amphibia; Anura; Pelobatidae. The record is from the annotation of a GenBank genome assembly.